RNAcentral lists this long non-coding RNA (2485 nucleotides) under Brassica napus (rape). RNAcentral describes it as "long non-coding RNA (BNAP_LNC003699)". Lineage: Eukaryota; Viridiplantae; Streptophyta; Magnoliopsida; Brassicales; Brassicaceae. The record is from RNAcentral.
CUUCCGCCGCACCGAGCGCGAUCCCAAACCGAGUCGGCCAGUCAAGACCAUACGACUUCCCUCCGUGCAGAAUCUCACCUAAGCUUCCUCGAGACAUGUACUCGUAAAGCAAGAGAUUGGAGUUCGAGCCCUGGUGGUAACAGAAACUGUACAGCCUCACAAUGUUCCUGUGCCUGAUCUUUCCUAGCGUAAGAAUCUCCGCGCGGAAACUGUUAUCCGUAUUGUUAUUAUUACCGCCUUCUCUAUUCGAUCCUAACUUUUUAACCGCGAUGGUUUUACCCGAGGGCAUAACCGCUUUGUACACCGUCCCGCACGCUCCUUUACCUAUAAUGUAGCUUUCGUGGAACCCUUUCGUCGCUUCUAGUAUGUCUUUAACAGUGAACCGUUCUUUCGGGACGAAGUAGAUGUCAGAUUCUUCGAAAAACGGUUCCUUGUCGCGCACGUAAGGAGGCUUUGUAGCCUCCACAGGGUGUUGUCUAAGGAAAUGAACAACGAUAGCUAUGAGGAAAAGAGAUAUGCCACCGACGAUGGAAGACAAGAUGACAAUGAUCCUCCGGCGACGCGCCGAGCCUGAUCUAAGAGGCGAAAGGUUACUCCAAGAAGAGAGGUUAGAGUCGCAGCUUCUCAGAUGCCCGCCGCAGAGUCCUUUAUCUCCGAGGAAGCUAGUUAGAGUCAUGUUUUGAAAGAGCGGCGCGGGCGGAAGCGGUCCGGUCAAGUUGUUGUAGGAGAAGUUGCAGCCUAGUAAGCUCGAUAAGUUCUCGAAAGUAGUCGGUAUCUCGCCGCUCAAGUGGUUGUUGUUGAGAGAAAGGUACAUAAGUAGAUAAAGAUUCCCGAGCUCAGGCGGUAUCUGACCGCUGAAGUCAUUGUAGCUCAAGUUCAUCGCGAUUUGGAGACUUGAUAGUGAGCCUAGCUGAGGCGGUAUGCUUCCCGAAAACAAGUUUCCACCCAUCUGGAGCUCCGUUAGAUGCGUGAGGUUCCCGAUGGUGAACGGUAUGUUGCCGGAUAAUCUAUUGUCGUUGAGUCUGAGGAUCUCUAGCUGAUGUAAGCUUCCUAGCUCGCAAGGUAAAUGACCGAUGAAACUGUUCCGGCUCAGGUCGAGUCGCUGAAGCAUCUUGCAGUUGGAGAUCUCCGAAGGGAUAGGUCCGGUUAGAGAGUUUGAGGAGACGUUGAACGUGACUAAGUUGGAGAGUUUGCAUUUUGAGGUUAAGUCCGGUUAACUAAGAAUCUAAAUAUCUAAACCGUAAGAGCAUACUUGUUUGAAAUUACCGGUUAUCCCAGAAUCUAAUUGUCUAAACCGUAAGAUCAUUAACGUUUUGAGAUUAACAUCCGUUAAUUCAGAAUCUAAAUGUCUAAACCGCAACAACAUAGCCCCGGUUAACUCAGAAUCUAAAUGUCUAAACCGUAAAAAAAUACCGGUUUUGAGAUUAAACCCGGUUAACUAAUUCUCUAAACCGUAAAACCAAACCGGUUUUGAGAUUAGCCACGGUCAAUUCAGAAUCUAAAUCUCUAAAGCGUAGGAACAAGCCGGUUUUGAGAUUAGUUAACUCAGAAUAUAAAUUUCUAAACGGUAGGAACAUACCGGGAGCAAUGUAACCAUAUGAACCAGCGACGGCUGAGACAGAUUUGGACACUGGCAUGUCAAUGACCUUAGCCAAACCAAAAUCUCCAACAUGAGCUUCAAAGUUCUCAUCAAGCAAAAUGUUAUUAGACUUGAUGUCUCGAUGAAUGAUCCUCGGUUUACAAUCAUGAUGCAAGUAAGCAAGCCCUUCCGCCGCACCGAGCGCGAUCCCAAACCGAGUCGGCCAGUCAAGACCAUACGACUUCCCUCCGUGCAGAAUCUCACCUAAGCUUCCUCGAGACAUGUACUCGUAAAGCAAGAGAUUGGAGUUCGAGCCCUGGUGGUAACAGAAACUGUACAGCCUCACAAUGUUCCUGUGCCUGAUCUUUCCUAGCGUAAGAAUCUCCGCGCGGAAACUGUUAUCCGUAUUGUUAUUAUUACCGCCUUCUCUAUUCGAUCCUAACUUUUUAACCGCGAUGGUUUUACCCGAGGGCAUAACCGCUUUGUACACCGUCCCGCACGCUCCUUUACCUAUAAUGUAGCUUUCGUGGAACCCUUUCGUCGCUUCUAGUAUGUCUUUAACAGUGAACCGUUCUUUCGGGACGAAGUAGAUGUCAGAUUCUUCGAAAAACGGUUCCUUGUCGCGCACGUAAGGAGGCUUUGUAGCCUCCACAGGGUGUUGUCUAAGGAAAUGAACAACGAUAGCUAUGAGGAAAAGAGAUAUGCCACCGACGAUGGAAGACAAGAUGACAAUGAUCCUCCGGCGACGCGCCGAGCCUGAUCUAAGAGGCGAAAGGUUACUCCAAGAAGAGAGGUUAGAGUCGCAGCUUCUCAGAUGCCCGCCGCAGAGUCCUUUAUCUCCGAGGAAGCUAGUUAGAGUCAUGUUUUGAAAGAGCGGCGCGGGCGGAAGCGGUCCGGUCAAGUUGU